GACGAACGCUGGCGGCGUGCUUAACACAUGCAAGUCGAACGGAAAGGCCCUGCUUUUGUGGGGUGCUCGAGUGGCGAACGGGUGAGUAACACGUGAGUAACCUGCCCUUGACUUUGGGAUAACUUCAGGAAACUGGGGCUAAUACCGGAUAGGAGCUCCUGCUGCAUGGUGGGGGUUGGAAAGUUUCGGCGGUUGGGGAUGGACUCGCGGCUUAUCAGCUUGUUGGUGGGGUAGUGGCUUACCAAGGCUUUGACGGGUAGCCGGCCUGAGAGGGUGACCGGCCACAUUGGGACUGAGCUACGGCCCAGACUCCUCCGGGAGGCAGCGGUGGGGAAUAUUGCACAAUGGGCGGAAGCCUGAUGCAGCAACGCCGCGUGCGGGAUGACGGCCUUCGGGUUGUAAACCGCUUUCGCCUGUGACGAAGCGUGAGUGACGGUAAUGGGUAAAGAAGCACCGGCUAACUACGUG
This 468-nucleotide ribosomal RNA is filed under the name uncultured bacterium. Its description in RNAcentral is "partial 16S ribosomal RNA". It matches the Rfam family "Bacterial small subunit ribosomal RNA", at positions 28 to 507 of the family's 1533-position model. The record is from RNAcentral.